This 253-nucleotide ribosomal RNA is filed under the name uncultured bacterium. RNAcentral's name for it is "partial 16S ribosomal RNA". It matches the Rfam family "Bacterial small subunit ribosomal RNA", at positions 524 to 776 of the family's 1533-position model. The record is from RNAcentral.
UACGUAGGGAGCAAGCGUUGUCCGGAUUUACUGGGCGUAAAGGGCGCGUAGGCGGCUUAACAAGUCACUUGUGAAAUCUCCGGGCUUAACUCGGAACGGCCAAGUGAAACUGUCAAGCUAGAGUGCAGAAGGGGCAAUCGGAAUUCUUGGUGUAGCGGUGAAAUGCGUAGAUAUCAAGAGGAACACCUGAGGUGAAGACGGGUUGCUGGGCUGACACUGACGCUGAGGCGCGAAAGCCAGGGGAGCAAACAGG